Molecule: long non-coding RNA, 569 nt
Organism: Serinus canaria (Common canary)
Lineage: Eukaryota; Metazoa; Chordata; Aves; Passeriformes; Fringillidae
Exons: 4
Source: RefSeq, a predicted model, not a curated record
UCUUUUUUUCCAUUUUCAGUCUCAUGAGAAGGAUGAGACAAUACAGAUGUUAUAAUUCACGCCAUCACAAUCAGAACCCAACUAUUUCUUAAUUACAGUACAUUAUAAGCAUUUCUUGCCCUAUCAGGUGUUCUGCAGCUGUGCUCAUUUUGGAGUUGAAUUCUCAUUGUCAGAGGGUCAGGAGGGUGUUUGUGUAACUGUCAGGUCAGGAAGGUGUUUGUGUAACAGUGUCAGAGGGUCAGGAAGGUGUUUGUGUAACACUGUUAGGGUCAGAAAGGUGUUUGUGUAACCCUGUUAUGGUCAGGAAGGUGUCUGUGUAACUCUGUCAGGUCAGGAAGGUGUUUGUGUAACAAUGUUAGGGUCAGGAAGAUGUCUGUGUAGCUAUGUCAGGUCAGAAAGGUGUUUGUGUAACCCUGUUAUGGUCAGGAAGGUGUGUAGCACUGUCAGAGGGUCAGGAAGGUGUUUGUGUAGCACUGUUAUGGUCAGGAAGGUGUUUGUGUAACUCUGUCAGGUCAGGAAGGUGUUUCUAGAACAACCAGCUCCUUCAGCCAUGGUCAGUGUUAGAUGAA